Chelonoidis abingdonii (Abingdon island giant tortoise) is the source of this 301-nucleotide non-coding RNA. NCBI's taxonomy places the organism in Eukaryota, Metazoa, Chordata, Testudines, Testudinidae. The record is from RefSeq and is a predicted model, not a curated record.
UAAGACUAUAUUGUGGUGGGUAAAAGUGGAGCAAAAACUAGAGAGUUUGUUUCAAUUUCAUAUUUUAUCGCUCUUAUUUCAUAAGGAUAUGUUUUUACAGAUGGGCACAGCUACUUUUUUUUAAAUUGCCUAUUAUUUCUUCUUUGCCUUCCUUGGGUUAUUAUUAGACCUUCUUUGAAACCUGAAUUCUUGCUACUCUAACUUUUCCCUUCUCGAUUUGGCCAAAAAGACUAGCUUGCUUUUAUACUCCCAUGUGGACACCAUCAUCAUUGCUUGAUAGUCAAGAAUGUUUUUCCCUGAA